This 478-nucleotide ribosomal RNA is filed under the name uncultured bacterium. RNAcentral describes it as "partial 16S ribosomal RNA". It matches the Rfam family "Bacterial small subunit ribosomal RNA", at positions 28 to 507 of the family's 1533-position model. The record is from RNAcentral.
GAUGAACGCUGGCGGCGUGCUUAACACAUGCAAGUCGAACGAGAAGUGGAGACGGAAACCUUCGGGCGGAAGACUUUAUUUCGAGUGGCGGACGGGUGAGUAACGCGUGGGUAACCUGCCUCAUACAGGGGGAUAACAGUUGGAAACGACUGUUAAUACCGCAUAAGACCACAGCACCGCAUGGUGCGGGGGUAAAAACUCCGGUGGUAUGAGAUGGACCCGCGUUCGAUUAGCGAGUUGGCGGGGUAACGGCCAACUAAAGCGACGAUCGAUAGCCGAGCUGAGAGGAUGACCGGCGACAUUGGGAAUGAGACACGGCCCACACUCCGACGCGAGGGAGCAGUGGGUAAUAUUGCACAAUGGGGGAAAACCUGAUGCAGCGACGCCGGGUGAGUGAAGAAGUAGGUCGGUAUGUAAAGCUCUAUCAGCAGGGAAGAAAAUGACGGUACCUGAGUAAGAAGCACCGGCUAACUACGUG